GGGGCAGCUGAAAACUUUCCACAGGCUGCCUGCUCGCCUGGAUUUUUUAAGUUUGAGGCAUCUGAGAGCCCCUGCUUGGAGUGCCCUGAGCACACGCUGCCAUCCCCUGAGGGUGCCACCUCCUGCGAGUGUGAGGAAGGCUUCUUCCGGGCACCUCAGGACCCAGCGUCGAUGCCUUGCACACGACCCCCCUCCGCCCCACACUACCUCACGGCCGUGGGCAUGGGUGCCAAGGUGGAGCUGCGCUGGACGCCCCCUCAGGACAGCGGGGGCCGCGAGGACAUUGUCUACAGCGUCACCUGCGAACAGUGCUGGCCCGAGUCUGGGGAAUGCGGGCCGUGUGAGGCCAGUGUGCGCUACUCGGAGCCUCCUCACAGACUGACCCGCACCAGUGUGACAGUCAGCGACCUGGAGCCCCACAUGAACUACACCUUCACCGUGGAGGCCCGCAAUGGCGUCUCAGGCCUGGUAACCAGCCGCAGCUUCCGUACUGCCAGUGUCAGCAUCAACCAGACAGAGCCCCCCAAGGUGAGGCUGGAGGGCCGCAGCACCACCUCGCUUAGCGUCUCCUGGAGCAUCCCCCCGCCGCAGCAGAGCCGCGUGUGGAAGUACGAGGUCACCUACCGCAAGAAGGGAGACUCCAACAGCUACAAUGUGCGCCGCACCGAGGGUUUCUCCGUGACCCUGGACGACCUGGCCCCAGACACCACCUACCUGGUCCAGGUGCAGGCACUGACGCAGGAGGGCCAGGGGGCCGGCAGCAAGGUGCACGAAUUCCAGACGCUGUCCCCGGAG
This 795-nucleotide small RNA is filed under the name Pan troglodytes (chimpanzee). Its description in RNAcentral is "processed transcript". Lineage: Eukaryota; Metazoa; Chordata; Mammalia; Primates; Hominidae. The record is from RNAcentral.